CCUACGGGGUGCUGCAGUGAGGAAUAUUGGUCAAUGGGCGGGAGCCUGAACCAGCCAAGUCGCGUGAGGGAAGACGGUCCCAUGGAUUGUAAACCUCUUUAGGCGGGGAGCAAUGCCGGGCACGCGUGCCCGGAGGGAGAGUACCCGCAGAAUAAGCAUCGGCUAACUCCGUGCCAGCAGCCGCGGUAAUACGGAGGAUGCGAGCGUUAUCCGGAUUUACUGGGUGUAAAGGGCGUGUAGGCGGGCAUGCAAGCCAGAAGUGAAAUCUGGGGGCUUAACCCCCAAACUGCUUUUGGAACUGCGUGUCUUGAGUGAUGGAGAGGCAGGCGGAAUGCCCAGUGUAGCGGUGAAAUGCGUAGAUAUUGGGAGGAACACCAGUGGCGAAGGCGGCCUGCUGGACAUUAACUGACGCUGAGGCGCGAAAGCGUGGGGAGCAAACAGGAUUAGAUACCCUUGUAGUC
RNAcentral lists this ribosomal RNA (461 nucleotides) under uncultured bacterium. RNAcentral describes it as "partial 16S ribosomal RNA". It matches the Rfam family "Bacterial small subunit ribosomal RNA", at positions 338 to 795 of the family's 1533-position model. The record is from RNAcentral.